Molecule: ribosomal RNA, 372 nt
Filed under: uncultured Glomeraceae
Lineage: Eukaryota; Fungi; Glomeromycota; Glomeromycetes; Glomerales; Glomeraceae
Description: LSU rRNA
Source: RNAcentral
UUGAAAGGGAAACGAUUGAAGUCAGUCGUACUGACGGGAAAUCAACCUUCUGGGUGUGAUCUUGUGGAUGCUAGAGAGCUUAACGGCCUCUGUGUUUUCAAGUUUGUGCUCUUGGGCGUAUUUUCUCGUAUAGUAAGUUAACAUCAAUUUCGGUCGUUAUAAAAUGAUCGGAGGAAAGUAGCUUCGAUUUAUCGAAGUGUUAUAGACUCUGGUAGAUGUAACGAUUGGGAUUGAGGAUUGCAACGAAUACCCGUCAGGGCUAUCCGUCUGGCCUCUGAUCAUUACCUUGGUGCCGAAAGCUUGCUUACGGUUAUUAAGGUUGAUGGUCAAAAGGUUAGAACGUGAUUAAAUUUCGUUAAGGAUGUUGACGUA